This 516-nucleotide ribosomal RNA is filed under the name uncultured bacterium. RNAcentral's name for it is "bacterial SSU rRNA". It matches the Rfam family "Bacterial small subunit ribosomal RNA", at positions 28 to 561 of the family's 1533-position model. The record is from RNAcentral.
AAUGAACGUUGGCGGCGUGGAUUAGGCAUGCAAGUCGAGCGUGUACCCGCAAGGGGAAAGCGGCAAACGGGGUAGGAACGCGUAGGCCACGUACCCCUCGGCCGGGGAUAGCCACGGGAAACUGUGGGUAAUACCCGAUGACGCCGAGAGGCCAAAGGUGUGAUUCCGCCGGGGGAGCGGCCUGCGUAGUAUUAGCUAGUUGGUGAGGUAACGGCUCACCAAGGCGAAGAUGCUUAGGGGGUGUGAGAGCAUGACCCCCACCACUGGGACUGAGAUACUGCCCAGACACCUACGGGUGGCUGCAGUCGAGAAUCUUCGGCAAUGGGGGCAACCCUGACCGAGCGACGCCGCGUGUGGGAUGAAGGCCCUUGGGUUGUAAACCACUGUCAGAGGGGAUGAAACGAUCAUGGGUUCUCCCAUGGUCCUGACAUAGCCUCAGAGGAAGCACGGGCUAAGUUCGUGCCAGCAGCCGCGGUAAUACGAACUGUGCAAACGUUAUUCGGAAUCACUGGGUAC